GCUGGCGGGCCCCUUCGCAUGGUUCGGCGGUGAAUCUGGUCAGGUCGGGAACGAAGCAGCCAUAGUCGUUCAGAACCAGUGCCGGAGUAAGGCUCGCCUACCGGUAUCCCU
Molecule: signal recognition particle RNA, 111 nt
Filed under: Bordetella bronchiseptica
Lineage: Bacteria; Pseudomonadati; Pseudomonadota; Betaproteobacteria; Burkholderiales; Alcaligenaceae
Also listed under: 2 other names
Rfam family: Bacterial small signal recognition particle RNA (bases 4-101)
About the family: The signal recognition particle (SRP) is a universally conserved ribonucleoprotein involved in the co-translational targeting of proteins to membranes.
Source: RNAcentral